AGGAUGAACGCUGGCGGCGUGCCUAAUACAUGCAAGUCGAGCGGUAAGGCCCCUUCGGGGGUACACGAGCGGCGGACGGCUGAGUAACACGUAGGAACGUACCCCAAACUGAGGGAUAAGCACCAGAAAUGGUGUCUAAUACCGCAUGUGGUCUUCGGAUUAAAGCUUCGGCGGUUUGGGAACGGCCUGCGCAUGAUUAGCUUGUUGGUGAGGUAAAAGCUUACCAAGGCGACGAUCAUUAGCUGGUCUGAGAGGAUGAUCAGCCAGACUGGGACUGAGAACGGCCCAGACUCCUACGGGAGGCAGCAGUAGGGAAUUUUCCACAAUGGGCGAAAGCCUGAUGGAGCAACGCCGCGUGCAGGACGAAGGCCUUCGGGUUGUAAACUGCUUUUAUAUGUGAAGAUUAUGACGGUAGCAUAUAGAAUAAGGAUCGGCUAACUCCGUGCCAGCAGCCGC
Molecule: ribosomal RNA, 456 nt
Filed under: uncultured bacterium
Lineage: Bacteria
Description: SSU rRNA
Rfam family: Bacterial small subunit ribosomal RNA
Source: RNAcentral